This 503-nucleotide ribosomal RNA is filed under the name uncultured bacterium. RNAcentral's name for it is "partial 16S ribosomal RNA". It matches the Rfam family "Bacterial small subunit ribosomal RNA", at positions 30 to 523 of the family's 1533-position model. The record is from RNAcentral.
AUUGAACGCUGGCGGCAGGCUUAACACAUGCAAGUCGCGCGGGGUGAUGGUGCUUGCACUAUCACUUAGCGGCGGACGGGUGAGUAAUGCUUAGGAAUCUGACUAUUAGUGGGGGACAACAUCUCGAAAGGGAUGCUAAUACCGCAUACGUCCUACGGGAGAAAGCAGGGGAUCACUUGUGACCUUGCGCUAAUAGAUGAGCCUAAGUCGGAUUAGCUCGUUGGUGGGGUAAAGGCCUACCAAGGCGACGAUCUGUAGCGGGUCUGAGAGGAUGAUCCGGCACACUGGGACUGAGACACGGCCCAGACUCCUACGGGAGGCAGCAGUGGGGAAUAUUGGACAAUGGGGGGAACCCUGAUCCAGCCAUGCCGCGUGUGUGAAGAAGGCCUUAUGGUUGUAAAGCACUUUAAGCGAGGAGGAGGCUCUUUUGGUUAAUACCCAAGAUGAGUGGACGUUACUCGCAGAAUAAGCACCGGCUAACUCUGUGCCAGCCGCCGCGGUAA